RNAcentral lists this ribosomal RNA (643 nucleotides) under uncultured bacterium. Its description in RNAcentral is "bacterial SSU rRNA". It matches the Rfam family "Bacterial small subunit ribosomal RNA", at positions 232 to 885 of the family's 1533-position model. The record is from RNAcentral.
CGCGGCCUAUCAGCUUGUUGGUGGGGUAAAGGCCUACCAAGGCGACGACGGGUAGCCGGCCUGAGAGGGCGACCGGUCACACUGGGACUGAGACACGGCCCAGACUCCUACGGGAGGCAGCAGUAGGGAAUAUUGCGCAAUGGACGAAAGUCUGACGCAGCAACGCCGCGUGAGGGAUGAAGUACAUCGAGAUGUAAACCUCUUUCAGCAGGGACGAAGCUAACGUGACGGUACCUGCAGAAGAAGCACCGGCUAACUACGUGCCAGCAGCCGCGGUAAUACGUAGGGUGCAAGCGUUGUCCGGAUUUAUUGGGCGUAAAGGGCUCGUAGGCGGUCUGUCGCGCCGGAUGUGAAAACUCGGAGCUUAACUCCGGGCCUGCAUUCGAUACGGGCAGACUAGAGUUCGGUAGGGGAGACUGGAAUUUCUGGUGUAGCGGUGGAAUGCGCAGAUAUCAGGAAGAACACCGAUGGCGAAGGCAGGUCUCUGGGCCGACACUGACGCUGAGGAGCGAAAGCAUGGGGAGCGAACAGGAUUAGAUACCCUGGUAGUCCAUGCCGUAAACGGUGGGCGCUAGGUGUGGGGAAUAAUCUACAUUCUCCACGCCGCAGCUAACGCAUUAAGCGCCCCGCCUGGGGAGUACGG